Molecule: ribosomal RNA, 301 nt
Filed under: uncultured bacterium
Lineage: Bacteria
Description: partial 16S ribosomal RNA
Rfam family: Bacterial small subunit ribosomal RNA
Source: RNAcentral
CAGCCGCCGCGGUAAUACGGAGGGGGCUAGCGUUGUUCGGAAUUACUGGGCGUAAAGCGCACGUAGGCGGCUUGGUAAGUUAGAGGUGAAAGCCUAGAGCUCAACUCCAGAAUUGCCUUUAAGACUGCCGAGCUAGCAGGUGAGAGAGGUAAGUGGAAUUCCGAGUGUAGAGGUGAAAUUCGUAGAUAUUCGGAAGAACACCAGUGGCGAAGGCGGCUUACUGGCUCAUACUGGACGCUGAGGUGCGAAAGCGUGGGGAGCAAACAGGAUUAGAUACCCGAGUAGUCCCUGUCUCUUAUAC